This 117-nucleotide ribosomal RNA is filed under the name Dorea formicigenerans. The record is from RNAcentral. Lineage: Bacteria; Bacillati; Bacillota; Clostridia; Lachnospirales; Lachnospiraceae.
UGGUGGCGAUGCGCUUAGGGGACACACCCGUUCCCAUCUCGAACACGAUGGUUAAGACCUAAGCGGCCGAUGGUACUUUACUGGAGACGGUACGGGAGAGUAGGUGGCUGCCAGAUU